GUCGGGGACUUAUUAGAAUUUACUUUAAUAUUUCCGAUAGGACUUUAUAGUACUUCAGGCUUUUAUUUGUUUUUAUUUUUCUGUUCUAAUUUUUUUUUAGUGUGGUUUUGUAGGGUGCGCAUGAACACUAGAUCUCACGGAAAUCCUCUUUUUGAGUUUGACCCUGAAAUCGACAAGACUUUGCGCAAUAUUAAGAAGCAGCAGAAUCAAGUUGAGCAAGAUACGAUGGCUACUCCUGAGGAAAUCCAAAUUCAAAUGCGAGCUCUUCAAGAGCAAUUGAAGAAGCUGACUGAUGAACAUGAGACGAGAGAAGCUCAGAAACA
RNAcentral lists this long non-coding RNA (323 nucleotides) under Salvia miltiorrhiza (redroot sage). Its description in RNAcentral is "long non-coding RNA (SMIL_LNC003055)". The record is from RNAcentral. Lineage: Eukaryota; Viridiplantae; Streptophyta; Magnoliopsida; Lamiales; Lamiaceae.